Condylostylus longicornis is the source of this 7939-nucleotide RNA transcript. It is a transcript of the gene named lamin-C-like, with no coding region annotated. The transcript is spliced from 5 exons. The record is from RefSeq and is a predicted model, not a curated record. Lineage: Eukaryota; Metazoa; Arthropoda; Insecta; Diptera; Dolichopodidae.
CUUCAUUACGUUCGGUUGUUUAAUAGUUUUGUUGUGGUUUUGUGAAAUUAUAAAUAAAUUUUUAAAAUUGUAAAAUAUAAUAAAAAAUAAAACUAUUAACAAAUUUAUUUUAAAACUUAAAUCAAUACAUUUUUAAAUUUGAAUUUUUUAUUUGUUAGUUUUUCUUCUGUUUUUUUCAAUAAAAAUCAGAAAUUUAAAGUUCUUUCCAAAAAAAAAAAAAAGCAAAAAAAUUUGAUUUGUCUUUUAACAUACAAAUAAAAAAAAUGGCAGCAAGAGGUAAAAAAUCUUCAAGUUUGGCACGUGAUUCUUGGAAUGAAAGUGGCGGGACUACAACAGAAGGACGUCGUCCAAAAAGUCCACUAAGUCCAACACGACAUUCACGUUUAGCUGAAAAAGCUGAAUUGCAAAGUUUAAAUGAUCGUUUAGCUUGCUAUAUUGAUCGUGUUAGAAAUUUAGAAACUGAGAAUGCACGUCUUAUUAUUGAAAUUCAAUCAAUUAAAGAAAAUGUUACACGUGAAACAUCAAAUGUAAAGUCAAUGUACGAGCAUGAAUUAUCAGAUGCACGAAAAUUAUUAGAUGAAACAGCUAAAGAGAAAGCUAGAUUGGAGAUUGAUACAAAAAGAUUAUGGGAAGAAAAUGAUGAAUUAAAAGCAAGAUGCGAUAAAUUAAAAAAAGAUUUAAACAUUGCUGAGAAUUCCGCUCGUAUGUGGGAGACUCGAUUUACCGAUUUGCAAGGUAAAUAUAAUCAAGCAAAUGCAGAUCGGAAGAAAGCAAAAGAUGAUGCAAAUGAUUUAGAACUGGAAAAUGAAAGAUUGCGUAAACAACUGGAUGAAUUAAGAAGACAUUUGGGUGCUGAAACUUUGUCUCGGGUUGAACUUGAAAAUACAAUUCAAAGUUUGCGUGAAGAACUUACAUUCAAAGAUCAAGUUCAUUCACAAGAAUUAAAUGAGACACGUUCAAGGCGUCAGGUAGAAAUCAGUGAGAUUGAUGGACGUCUUUAUGAGGAAUAUGAAGCAAAAUUACAAAAAUCACUUCAAGAAUUACGUGAUCAAUAUGAAGCUCAAAUUCGUUCAAAUCGUGAAGAAAUCGAAAUGCUCUACGAUAAUAAAUGUAAAAAUCUUCAAAAUGCAGCUAAACGUCAUACAAAUGCUGCUAAUACAGCUGUAGAAGAAUUACGUACAACUCAUGCCCGUAUAGAAUCUUUAAAUUCAAGAAUAAGCGAAUUAGAGGGUCUUACUGCACAAUUGCAAGCACGUAAUCGUGAUUUAGAACAAUUAUUAGAUGCAAAUCGUGCUCGUCAUGCCGAAGCAAUUGCUGCAUUAGAAGCUGAACUAAAUCGUUUGCGUGAAGAAAUGGCACAACAAUUACAAGAAUAUCAAGAUUUAAUGGAUAUUAAAGUAUCAUUAGAUAUGGAAAUUGCUGCCUAUGAUAAAUUAUUAAAAGGUGAAGAGCAUCGAUUAAAUUUAUCACCAUUACAAAGUAAUGUUGCAAGCCAUUCAAGUGCAACCGCAUCUGGAAGACGAGCAUCACGAAGUACACCAGUACGUCGUACACCAUCACGUCAACAGGGUGCAUCAUUAUCAUCAUUAACACAAAAUACAGGUUCUAUAGUAUUAGGUGGACCUGGUAUCAAAAGAAAACGUGUGACAGAAGAAUUAGAGGAUCGUUCAUCAUCUGAAUUUUAUGUCACACAAUCAGCUAAAGGUGACGUGGAAAUAUUUGAAGCAGACGCUGAUGGUAGAUUUGUUAAAUUGCAUAACAAAUCAAAUAAAGAAAUUAAUAUUGGUGGGUGGCAAAUUCUUCGUACCGUUGGUGACAAUGAGACAUCAUUUAAACUACAUCGUUCAGUUAAAAUUGACGGUGAUGGAUAUGUUACAGUUUGGUCCAUGGAUAGUGGUAUAACACAUGAGCCACCAACAAAUAUUGUAAUGAAAGCACAAAAAUGGUUUGUUGGCGACAACAUGAAAACAGUUUUAUUGAGUCCAGAAGGGGAAGAACUUGCGGCAUCUGAACGUAUCAGACAAGUUGUUUCAACUAGAGUGGCUAGACAUCGUACAUUGGGUGGUGAAGAUUUAUAUCAUUCUGAGGUACGGGGUGCAAGUGCCGCUGGUUCAGCCUCUGGGCGCUUCUGGCUAUGGUGAAGCAGAAAUUAAUUAAAAAAAAAAUAUUAAAAACACAAAAAAAAAAUUGACACAAAUCAAAUAUUUUGCUAUUAUUUUUUUUUAUUUUUUUUUGUUUUUGUUAAAAAAAAAUUAUUUAAAAUACAUACUUAAAAUAAAUACUAAUUUAAGGAAUUCAAAAGUCGUUUAAAUAAUUAAGAAAAUAACAAAAAAAAAACUAAAUAAAAUAAAUUUAAAUAAAAAUAAUUAAAAAAACUAAGAAGAAGACUAUGAACAAAGGUAAAAACUAUUCGCAAUAAUGAAAACUAUUCGCAAUAAUAAAAACAACAACAACGAAAAUAAGCUCAUAAAUUCAAAAAAAAAUUUAAAAACAAACUUUUUUCUCUUUCAUUUUCAUGAUAAAUGGUAUUUAUUUACUGUAAAAAAUUCACAAAGUGCAAUUAAUUAUUUUCAAAGAUUAAAAUUUAAAUGAAAAAAUAUAAAAUAUAAAAAUAAAUAAUUAAAAACAAAAGACCAAAACCAACACAAUAUAAUUAAUAAUAUGAAAAAAUUAUAAAAAAAAAUAUCUAAGGCAAAAUUAUUUAAUAGAAAAUAUACAAAAUGUAAAAAGAAAAAAAAAAUAGAUACUAAAAAUUCACAUCUCUCCAAUAUUUUCUUUUCCAUCAAUCAUUCAUCAAUCCGUUUUCUUUGCCCGGAAAAGGAAAAAAAAUAUUGUAGAAAUUAAAAAAAAAAAAUUUACUUAAAUUCUCUCGCCUUUCGCCGGUGUGUACCUUAAGUGAAAAAUAUAAAUAUUAUAAGUAUAUAAAAUACCAUGCACAUUUAACAUUAAUACAUAUCAAAAAAGAAUUAUGACAAAGUGAAAAAAAAAUUUUUUGUUUAAAUUCUGAAAAUAAAAAUUUGCCAAAAACCAAACUAAUAGUCAACCAACAAAGUCCUCCAAUUUCACCACAUAAUUAAAUAACAAAAUUGAAAAUAAAUCAUAAAUCGUCGGUGUUCCCAGUCCGCUUCUCAACCCCCCUCCCCCUGCCACAGCAAAUAUUCAUAUGGCGAAUACUUAUUUAGUUUUGAUGAACCGUAUCCAAACACAACCAUGAAAUUAAAAUUAUGAUUCGUACAAAAAAAAAAAUUGGAUUUUGCCAACACUAAAAACAAAAAUUCUGAAAAGCAUGAGCCAUCGGAGCAAUGUAGUAUUUGCUAAAACACAAAAAACAAAAAUUGAAACUUUUAUUUAUUAACUAUAUAUAAAAUUAAGGAUAGAUGAUAACAAUUUAAAACUUGGUAAAAAUAAAUAAAAAAACAAAUAAAAAAACGUAAUUAAUUCCUGACUUUAGAGUAUUACAGAAAUAAAACAUUAAUACAUAAUGCAACAAUGCAUGUGUAUUAAAAGAACAGUAGAUAUUGCUGCAAUUUUAAAGUCAGGAAAUCGUAGUUUCUGUAAUUUUCAGUUUAAUUUUGUUUUUGAUAUUUUUUAAUAAUUUUAAUAAUUAUUAAAUGAAGAAUAUUAAUUUAAUUAAAAUAAUUAUAAUCAUAUUAUUAGAAUUAUUAUUUUUUUUAUUAUUGUUAGAAUUUAAGAAAAGGAUCACAAAUUUGGAAAUUAUUAAAAUCUUUUUUUGUUUUUUUUUUAAUAUUCUCUGUCCAUGUACAUGAACUAAUGAUAACAUUAUAAAUUCAAAAAGUUCAAAAAUAAAUAAAACAAAAAAAAAUAAUUAUUUUCCAAUCUUAUAUCACAUAUAUAAUUAAUAUUUACAUUCACAUGUAUGACUUUAACAUUGCGGUAAUAAAUACCUAAAUUCUGCAAUUAUAACACAAACAUCAGUUUAACUCCUCUUACCGACUACAUUGCAUACAUUAAAGGAGAUUAUGUGAUGGCAACAAAUUUUGCAUAUAAAGUUUUCGGUGGAAACGCACUUCCCCAUAGUAGAGAAGCGUAAAUAAACUACUUUUGAGAGGUGUCGGUCUGUCUGUCUGUGUUUGAAUGCGUGUAUAUCAAGUUUGACUGAACCGAUUUUCAUGUGGGUUUGUUUUGGCUAUGUCACGAAUUGAUCAACUUGUGGGAUAUAUCCGGCGUUUGGAACUGGAUGCUGUCAGGCUUUGGAACUGGAAAUACAUAACCGAUUUCCUUGAAUUUUAAUGUUUAAAUUUGGAGUUUUAAGACAGUGAACAUAUAAAUUUUUAAAAACGAUCCCGGCUCGUUAACAAAACUGGGUGUCGAUUUUACAUUUUUUACCGUAUCUGAUGGCACAAAGCGAAAUUCUACUAAGAGCCAAUUUAACAUAUUUCUAGGUAUGUUAACUAAAAGCUUACUAACGACCUAAAAAUUGGAAAGAAAAAGGUAUUUUUAUAAUCUUCUGUUACAUUUUCACUUAACUAGACAAUACACAUUGCGGUCGAUUAUGUGCUGAUCACGUCAGAUUGUUUAGGUAUUAACACCAAGUAUUACUGCAAUUUUAAAGCCAUAGAGGGCAUUUCUGAAAAUGCACUUCUAUAGUUUAGAACUGCAAAUCUUUCAAAAAUUCAUGAACAAAUUAAAUGUGCAGCUUUGAAAGCUCUGCAUUUCUACAUUUAAGAACUGCAUUUUCAAAUAUACCCAGAGAUAAAGGUUCAUCUGAAAACGCAAGCUCUAACUUAAUCGUAUUAGAAAUUUUAGAUCAUAUAUGUUUUAAUAAGAAUGUAAAGCCUAUAGUGCUUUUUAAGAAUGCAGAACUCCGCAAUAGUAAUUUUUGUUUUUUGAAAAAUAUACAACAGCAAGUUAAAACCUUUCAGAAAUUCUACACAAUAUCGCUAUUUUUCAAAUGCUAACUACUGCGAUAGCAAAAUUAUUAUGAAGAAGAUGGGAGAAGUUUUAAUGUUAAAAUGCGUACACUAGACAUGCUGCAUUUUCAGAAGAACCUAUAUAUAUAUACAUAAGGAGUUUUUGAAAAUACAGUUCGCGUGUUUUUGAUAAUGCAGUUCUUAAGGUGGGAACUACAAAGCUUUUAAAACUCCAUGUACAAAUUAAAUGUAGAGUUUUUAAAGCUUUGCAGUUCUAACCUUAAGAACUGCAUUUUCAAAAACAUACCUUCUAAAGGUUAGAACUGCAAAACUUUUAAAACUCCAUGUACAAAUUAAAUGUAGAGUUUUUAAAACUUUACAGAUCUAACUUUAAAAACUGCAUUUUCAAAAACAUCCAUGGCCUAAAUUAAUUGGAUUGUUUUUUUAAGAUUUUAAAACAAAACAAUGGAAACAAAAAUUAAAAAAAAAAAAUUAAUUUUUAUGAUUCUUGACCUUAAAAUUAUACUAAUAUUUUAUAUUUUUAUAUACACAAUUCAGGUUACAGAGUUUGUAUAGUUGCUGAAUUGUGUUUACAAAAAUACAAGUAAUAUGGGAAUUUUUAAGAAUCAUUUUUUUAAUUUUUAAAAAUUUUAAAAAUUAUAAAUUAAAACAAAUUUAUUGUAAUUUUUUUUUUUCAUAAACAAAAAAAGACGAAUUGUGAAUAAUUGUAUCAUAAUGCUGCGUUAAUAGUACGGGAUGAUUUCCAUCUUAUAGACAAAAAACAGUUUUUAAACUGCCUUUAAAAUUGAGCUUCCCUGGUUUUCAAAACGAAGUAAAAGCGCAGUCGAAACGUAAAACAAAAGCAAAACGCCUAGCGAAAAAAUUAAAACCGCUUUUGGUACACAUGCCAUAAAAAGACUUGCCAGAAUUAAUAAUUUCCAAAUUAUUACAUUUUUUCCAGAAAAAUAUAUUCGGUUAAGCAUAUGUUGAGAUCAGUAAUUUAUUUUAAAAUAAUUCUUAAAACAACAAAGAAAUACAAGGAAACACAAAGGCAAGAACAACAGAUUACUUAGUCUUUCAGAAAAUCUUUUAGUAGUUUUUUUAUUAUAAAUAAUUAUUUACACGGUUUUAUUUAUUUAAUAUACAAAACUAAUAUUUUUUACAAAUAUUUAUUACAAGCAAAUUUAAAAACAAUGUAUAAUAUGUACAUUAUGUUGUGUAAUGUUUUUUUAACGUCACAUUGAUAUUCCAAAAUCUAGCGAAAAUUUAUAUACAUUGCAACGGUUUUAAAGGCUUUUCGUUGUUGUAAAAUUGUAUUUAGACUGCUUUUUAUACUGCGUUUGGUAGUAACGGCUUUAAACUUUUUUGUUUGAUUGCCAAAAUAAUGAGCCUUAUUCUAGUUGUCGCGUCACUAAUGUGACAUUUGUCGUUGUCGCUGUCACAUCAUUUGAAAUGUGGUAUUCUGGUUGUCGAGUGACGUGAUUGCGAGAAAUAAUCGCGAAAAAAAAGCGUUUCAAGUGAAAUUGAUACAUUUUAAAAAGAAAUUUCGGCGAGUAAAGUUCAAACAAAAAAAAAUUUUCAGUGUGUAUAUUUAUAUUUUUACAUAAUAAGCAAUGUCAUUUGCAUUAUGGUUUACGAAUUCAUCUCAUUCCGGUAGUGAUGAAAUUAAAAAAUAACAACAAUUAAGGAUCGAAAGAUUUAAGAUUAGCGACAGCUCUAAUCCAUUAGAUUUGCCAAAUUUUUUUUAGUAAAUUAGUUGCAAACAUUUUAUUUUAUUCACAGAUUUAUAAACUAUUACAGACUUCCAAAGCAGGCCUUUGUAUAUUUACUGAAUAUAUUCGAGGGAAAAACGAGUACCCGUAAAAGGCGUUCUCUUUCAUGAAAUUUCCAAUUCUUCAAACUUAUAAAUACUUUCACGCUAAAAACAAAAAUUAAAUUACAUAUUUUAUGACUUGAUUUAUGUAUAAAAUUAAUUUUUUUAUGAUUUUGUUAAAUUGUUUUGUUUUAACUUGCAUUUUUGGUGUAUCCCUCUUUGUUGUCACUUAUAAAUACUUUUCGACAAAAAACGUCGUUUCACUACGACAUAUCUCGCAUCAGAACGACAACUGGAAUAUGGUUGAAACACAUUUUCCCGCUAUUCCCCGACGAUUGUCACUGCGAUCGCCGCUUAGAAUAUCAAUUUCAAGUCGUAACGACAAUUGUCGCUUUACUUCGACAACUAGAAUAAGGCUCAAUGUUUAAAUAUUUAACAGACAGAAAAUUUACAAAAAGCAUCGGGAAGUUUUUCGAGGCGUUGUCUGCUGUUUUCUACGUGUUCAAAACAGUUUCCAAGCAAUUUGAAACUUACUACAUCGUCAAAGCUUUUGAAAUACAAUAUAAAAUAUAAAAUAUUGCAGCGAAAUAUUUUUUUACAAUAUGGAAUCCAGGGAUACUCGUAAUCGUAUGUACUAUUUUAUGUUUAUGCUCUCUCACUUCUCUCAUAUGUUCAACGACCAUUUUUGUAGAAUUCGGCUCAUCUAAUCUUAGAUAAAAUUAUACACAGAUUAGAUGGGUGAUUUGAUUGUAAUUUCGUCUUUGAUAUAGUUUUUUUUUCUGAAAAUGGUUUUUAUGGAAAUUUGUAUAUUUUUUUUGUUAAAAUUGAAAAAUAUGUAUAAGUGUUAGAAUAUGAGAAAACAAAACAUAUAUUAUACGACAAUUUUACUUACAUGUACCAAUAAUCUCUAAUCAGUAAUUAGAAAUGAUAAACUGAAUAAGCUGAUUUUUUUAUGAACAAAUAUAAUAAAAUUGUAAAUUUUGAGAUUAGAGUUCUGUGUAAUCCUUAUAAAAAAAAUUUAUUUUUUUAAUUUAAAAUUUAAUUUGUUUCAAAUAUUUUAUAGGAGGCAGUCAGUCAGUUCAUUGUUCGAAAAUUUAAAUUAAAUUUAACUAUUUUACUUACUUAUAUUACUGAAUUAACGUUUUGAUGGUACUUUCACACAUUUAUAUAACUUUAAUAUGUAUAGAAUUUAAGAAAGUUAAAAAAAAUUACAAAAUGAUUGUAUGUACAAAUAAAUAAACUAUGUAAAAAUAGA